AGCGAACGUUAGCGGCGGGCCUAACACAUGCAAGUCGAGCGAGAAAGGGGGUUCGCCCCCGAGUACAGCGGCGGACGGGUGAGUAACACGUAGGUAAUUUUCCCUUGAGCGGGGGACAACGUUCCGAAAGGGACGCUAAUACCGCAUAAGUUCUUGGGUGCUUCGGCACUGGAGAGGAAAGCUAGGCCGCAAGGUCUGGCACUCGAGGAGAAGCCUGCGUCGCAUCAGCUAGUUGGUGGGGUAAUGGCCUACCAAGGCAAAGACGCGUAGCUGGUCUGAGAGGAUGAUCAGCCACACUGGGACUGAGACACGGCCCAGACUCCUACGGGAGGCAGCAGUGGGGAAUAUUGGGCAAUGGGCGAAAGCCUGAUCCAGCAAUGCCGCGUGAGUGAUGAAGGCCUUAGGGUGUAAAGCUCUUUACCCGGGAUGAUAAUGACAGUACCGGGAGAAUAAGCCCGGCUAACUCCGUGCCAGCAGCCGCGGUAAU
Molecule: ribosomal RNA, 487 nt
Filed under: uncultured bacterium
Lineage: Bacteria
Description: bacterial SSU rRNA
Rfam family: Bacterial small subunit ribosomal RNA
Source: RNAcentral